Non-coding RNA from Pelobates cultripes (western spadefoot toad), 692 nucleotides. The record is from the annotation of a GenBank genome assembly. Lineage: Eukaryota; Metazoa; Chordata; Amphibia; Anura; Pelobatidae.
CUUCCCCCGCCUUGAUUCUUUUUUCCCCUCCUCUCCUUACCUGCUCGGCGCGUGCGGUUCCCGGUCUGCCACGAAGGGCUCUCUCAGUAAGACUGUGCACCCGCUCAUCCACGCUACACACAGUGACCGGUUGGAGGGGAGCACUGUGUUGUGUGCUCCCCUCCUGCCAGUCUCCAGGCAACUGUGGGCCCCGGCCGGUUGCACUUUGCAUCGGCCCUUAAGUGAUGUGGGUGGCCCACAGUUGCAGGGGUCAACCGUGUGGCAGGGCCCCCUGCAGUGAUGGGCCUGGUCGCAAUUGCAACCCCUGUGACCAUGGUAGUUCCACCACUGCUAACAGGCCUCUACACCUCAAAUGUAAAUUAGUAGAAAAUCCUCUAUAUUAUAGAAACUUGGAUAUUAAUAAGAGUGUUAAAUGUAGGGAAGAAAGGAUCAAAAACUUUCAAAUUGGUUGUGAAUGCAGCGCAAAUGUACAGUUUGUUAGGAUACUUUCACACAAGACUAGGUGAUUAUCUAAGUAUUGAUCCCUGAUAUUGUGAGGCAGUCAGUAAUACCCACACUGUUGGAGAUUCUGUGGACUAGAAUACCCAUUAAGCCCAGCCAGCUGUGGGGUCAAAGGUUAUUUGUGCAUUACUGAAGAAUCUUAGUAAGUGACUGAAGACCUAUAAUGCAUAAAGAAAAAAAGUGAGGAAAAU